AUAAAUUUAUUAAAACUCGUAUAUAAUCGGAAAUAUGGUCCGAAAGUUUCUACCUGCAUGCCGUAAAUGUGCAGACUACGAGGAGUUGUAUUUU
RNAcentral lists this non-coding RNA (94 nucleotides) under uncultured Clostridium sp. Its description in RNAcentral is "Purine riboswitch". It matches the Rfam family "Purine riboswitch aptamer". From Rfam's summary of the family: Riboswitches are metabolite binding domains within certain messenger RNAs that serve as precision sensors for their corresponding targets. Lineage: Bacteria; Bacillati; Bacillota; Clostridia; Eubacteriales; Clostridiaceae. The record is from RNAcentral.